AGGACUAUCGCCAAGUGGCUUAAGGCAACAGGCUCUGACCCUGUUAUUUCGGGGGUUCGAAACCCUCUAGUCCUGCCA
RNAcentral lists this transfer RNA (78 nucleotides) under bacterium. Its description in RNAcentral is "tRNA-Gln". It matches the Rfam family "tRNA". From Rfam's summary of the family: Transfer RNA (tRNA) molecules are approximately 80 nucleotides in length. Their secondary structure includes four short double-helical elements and three loops (D, anti-codon, and T loops). Further hydrogen bonds mediate the characteristic L-shaped molecular structure. tRNAs have two regions of fundamental functional importance: the anti-codon, which is responsible for specific mRNA codon recognition, and the 3' end, to which the tRNAs corresponding amino acid is attached (by aminoacyl-tRNA synthetases). tRNAs cope with the degeneracy of the genetic code in two manners: having more than one tRNA (with a specific anti-codon) for a particular amino acid; and 'wobble' base-pairing, i.e. permitting non-standard base-pairing at the 3rd anti-codon position. The record is from RNAcentral.